GAUAUUGGGAGACCACUGAAAGUUGAGGAAAGCCUUCAGAACAAGGCAGGCUUGCUUAACCCCUGCAGAUGCAAGAAUUGCCUCAGGGCACUGGAUGAGGUUUGCAUUUAGAUUCAGACCUAGGGCAAGAGUUUGAAGACUGCCCUUCAGCUGAUUUGAAUACACAACCUUACCUGAUACUAAGGAGAAGCUACUACUCUUGAGAAAGGAAGAGGCAGGCCUUUCCAACCCCCACUUGCCUCGCUUGAUGAAACUGUGCCCCACCACAUUCUCAGGCAGAGCUUCCUUGCCUGCCAGCUUGCAUCUCUUACAAGCGUCCAGUUCUGUUAAGUCUGUUUCUCGCCUAUCACUUUGUCUCUCUUGGAAUUCCUUCUGCUCUAAGUCAUAAAGAUCUUGAACCAGAGUGAGUCCAGACACAAGGUGAGUAGCUGGACUUUGAAACCAUGGAUUAAAGUCCCAAUCUGGCUUCAGGUUGGGUUCGAGUCCGGGCACGUGGGUUCCAGUCCCAAUCUGGGUUCUGGCUGGGGUAGGGCCCUCAGUGCUGUCAGUUUCAGCUGGUGACCACAAAGGGACAGUGAUGAGGCAAGGAAAUGUUCAGAGUUAGGGUCCUGGUCCUAGACCAGCAGCUCCAGGACAGAACUCCUAAUCUCGACACUCUUCUCCUGCUUCUGAGGGUCUUCCCAGCUCCAUUCCCUUCUCCCUCCUGUCAACCCCAGUGACCUGUGUGACCACCAAGGACUCCUUCUUAUUGCCCCUGCCCGUGCAGAUGCUGAGGGUUAAUUCCCAGUGUGCAGGCCAGAUGGAUUCCCAGGCAUCGUGGACACUGCUGGGGACACCUUCUGUACCUCUCCCUGUGGCAACUCCUCGGAUGUCUUCUAAGACAAAACCAGCGAGGAACCGACGGACGCCGCAGCUGAGGUAGAAGCCUUAGUGGACCCUGGAGUGUGGAAUAUGGGGGUUCCAGGCCUGGCCACAGGAAUGACCUGGGCCGGAAUAGCCCCACAAGAAGCCGUUCCCCUUAACAUCAGAGGCGGGUGAGAAUGCUGUGAAGACCCUCCCUCAUGUAUGGAGAAAGGGUUCCCCAAAGGCAAGGUGCCUGCCAUGGACCAGGACACCAUGGGAAUCGAGGGAUACAAAGGAGACAGUGGUGCACCGGGACCCCAAGUUUUCCCAGCCCGCCUGGGUAAGCCUGGAGC
RNAcentral lists this long non-coding RNA (1196 nucleotides) under Sus scrofa (pig). Its description in RNAcentral is "lncRNA (ENSSSCG00015030116.1)". Lineage: Eukaryota; Metazoa; Chordata; Mammalia; Artiodactyla; Suidae. The record is from RNAcentral.